UGUUUCGGCUAGGGGGCCAUCCCGGCUUACCAACCCGAUGCAAACUGCGAAUACCGGAGAAUGUUAUCACGGGAGACACACGGCGGGUGCUAACGUCCGUCGUGAAGAGGGAAACAACCCAGACCGCCAGCUAAGGUCCCAAAGUCAUGGUUAAGUGGGAAACGAUGUGGGAAGGCCCAGACAGCCAGGAUGUUGGCUUAGAAGCAGCCAUCAUUUAAAGAAAGCGUAAUAGCUCACUGGUCGAGUCGGCCUGCGCGGAAGAUGUAACGGGGCUAAACCAUGCACCGAAGCUGCGGCAGCGACACUUUAGUGUUGUUGGGUAGGGGAGCGUUCUGUAAGCCGUUGAAGGUGUCCUGUGAGGGGUGCUGGAGGUAUCAGAAGUGCGAAUGCUGACAUAAGUAACGAUAAAGCGGGUGAAAAGCCCGCUCGCCGGAAGACCAAGGGUUCCUGUCCAACGUUAAUCGGGGCAGGGUGAGUCGACCCCUAAGGCGAGGCCGAAAGGCGUAGUCGAUGGGAAACGGGUUAAUAUUCCCGUACUUGGUGUUACUGCGAAGGGGGGACGGAGAAGGCUAUGUUGGCCGGGCGACGGUAGUCCCGGUUUAAGCGUGUAGGCUGGUUUUCCAGGCAAAUCCG
RNAcentral lists this ribosomal RNA (633 nucleotides) under Salmonella enterica. Its description in RNAcentral is "partial 23S ribosomal RNA". It matches the Rfam family "Bacterial large subunit ribosomal RNA", at positions 911 to 1544 of the family's 2925-position model. Lineage: Bacteria; Pseudomonadati; Pseudomonadota; Gammaproteobacteria; Enterobacterales; Enterobacteriaceae. The record is from RNAcentral.